This 468-nucleotide ribosomal RNA is filed under the name uncultured bacterium. RNAcentral describes it as "partial 16S ribosomal RNA". It matches the Rfam family "Bacterial small subunit ribosomal RNA", at positions 28 to 507 of the family's 1533-position model. The record is from RNAcentral.
GACGAACGCUGGCGGCGUGCUUAACACAUGCAAGUCGAACGGAAAGGCCCUGCUUUUGUGGGGUGCUCGAGUGGCGAACGGGUGAGUAACACGUGAGUAACCUGCCCUUGACUUUGGGAUAACUUCAGGAAACUGGGGCUAAUACCGGAUAGGAGCUCCUGCUGCAUGGUGGGGGUUGGAAAGUUUCGGCGGUUGGGGAUGGACUCGCGGCUUAUCAGCUUGUUGGUGGGGUAGUGGCUUACCAAGGCUUUGACGGGUAGCCGGCCUGAGAGGGUGACCGGCCACAUUGGGACUGAGAUAGGGCCCAGACUGCUAAGGGAGGCAGCAGUGGGGAAUAUUGCACAAUGGGCGGAAGCCUGAUGCAGAAACGCAGCGUGCGGGAUGACGGCCUUCGGGUUGUAAACCGCUUUCGCAUGUGACGAAGCGUGAGUGACGGUAAUGGGUAAAGAAGCACCGGCUAACUACGUG